RNAcentral lists this small nucleolar RNA (136 nucleotides) under Jaculus jaculus (lesser Egyptian jerboa). Lineage: Eukaryota; Metazoa; Chordata; Mammalia; Rodentia; Dipodidae. The record is from RNAcentral.
UUGGCCCUGAAUCAAGGCCAGCACUUUGCUAUAGUGCUGGUUUCAAACUGGAGCCUAAAAAAAUGUCUUUCUUUGGUCUGUUGGCCAUUUCAGAAAGUUGGAAAUGUAAUGGUCGAUUUAUUAGAAAGAAACAUUG